CAGGUGUGUGUGUGUGUGUGUGUGUGUGUGUGUGCGUGCGCGCACGCGCUGUGCACAUGCACAUGCCCAAAGUC
RNAcentral lists this microRNA precursor (74 nucleotides) under Tupaia belangeri (northern tree shrew). RNAcentral describes it as "miRNA (ENSTBEG00000019819.1)". Lineage: Eukaryota; Metazoa; Chordata; Mammalia; Scandentia; Tupaiidae. The record is from RNAcentral.